Suricata suricatta (meerkat) is the source of this 230-nucleotide long non-coding RNA. RefSeq lists it as uncharacterized. The transcript has 2 exons. Lineage: Eukaryota; Metazoa; Chordata; Mammalia; Carnivora; Herpestidae. The record is from RefSeq and is a predicted model, not a curated record.
CCUAGGCAUCACUUAAGAAUGAGAAUGGCUGCCAGGGAAACCAACUACAGAUCUGAGGAGUUUCUAUUAUGUAAUGUGAAAAAGAAGAUUCCCUGGCUGCAUGGAACUUACAUCUCAUGGUAAACAUCGAAAAGAACAGUAUAAGAGAAGUGACACCAUAAGGCUGUGUAAAAUGUAAUACUAAAUAAUUGGUAGUGGUAAUAAACUGCUGUUAAAGUCAGAGUAAAAAA